AUGUCAUCCUCCAGCACCACG
This 21-nucleotide microRNA is filed under the name Ornithorhynchus anatinus (platypus). RNAcentral's name for it is "oan-miR-1419d-3p". The record is from miRBase by way of RNAcentral. Lineage: Eukaryota; Metazoa; Chordata; Mammalia; Monotremata; Ornithorhynchidae.